Molecule: ribosomal RNA, 607 nt
Filed under: uncultured bacterium
Lineage: Bacteria
Description: bacterial SSU rRNA
Rfam family: Bacterial small subunit ribosomal RNA
Source: RNAcentral
CCUACGGGAGGCAGCAGUGAGGAAUAUUGGACAAUGGGCGCAAGCCUGAUCCAGCCAUGCCGCGUGCAGGAAGACGGUCCUAUGGAUUGUAAACUGCUUUUGUACAGGAAGAAACACUCCCUCGUGAGGGAGCUUGACGGUACUGUAAGAAUAAGGAUCGGCUAACUCCGUGCCAGCAGCCGCGGUAAUACGGAGGAUCCAAGCGUUAUCCGGAAUCAUUGGGUUUAAAGGGUCCGUAGGCGGUUUAAUAAGUCAGUGGUGAAAUCUGGUCGCUCAACGAUCAAACGGCCAUUGAUACUGUUAGACUUGAAUUAUUAGGAAGUAACUAGAAUAUGUAGUGUAGCGGUGAAAUGCUUAGAUAUUACAUGGAAUACCAAUUGCGAAGGCAGGUUACUACUAAUGGAUUGACGCUGAUGGACGAAAGCGUGGGGAGCGAACAGGAUUAGAUACCCUGGUAGUCCACGCCGUAAACGAUGGAUACUAGCUGUUCGGAGCAAUCUGAGUGGCUAAGCGAAAGUGAUAAGUAUCCCACCUGGGGAGUACGUUCGCAAGAAUGAAACCUNAAAGGAUUGACGNUGNGAGNGCGAGACGACGACGAGGGAGGAGG